Molecule: small nuclear RNA, 123 nt
Organism: Dromiciops gliroides (monito del monte)
Lineage: Eukaryota; Metazoa; Chordata; Mammalia; Microbiotheria; Microbiotheriidae
Source: RefSeq, a predicted model, not a curated record
AUGAUAUAUGAAAAAAUAGCAGGUUAGCAUUCCCCUUGAUAAAGAUAAAAUAUGUCUAAUUGAUCUUUAUAACACAUAUGAUUUAGACAUUUACACUUCUCUGUCAUCUAACCAAGUUUUGUU